This 468-nucleotide ribosomal RNA is filed under the name uncultured bacterium. RNAcentral describes it as "partial 16S ribosomal RNA". It matches the Rfam family "Bacterial small subunit ribosomal RNA", at positions 28 to 507 of the family's 1533-position model. The record is from RNAcentral.
GACGAACGCUGGCGGCGUGCUUAACACAUGCAAGUCGAGCGGAUAGGCCCUGCUUUUGUGUGGUGUUCGAGUCGCGCACGUGUGUGUUACACAUGAGUAACCUUCCCAUUACUGUGUGAUAUCUUCAGGCGACUGGGGCUAAUACCUGCUACGUGCGCCUGCUGCUUGGUGAGGUUUGGAAAGUUUCGGCGGGUGUGGGUGGACUGGCGGCUUAUCAGCUUGUUGGUUGGGUAGUGGCUUACCAAGGCCUUGAAGGGUAGGCGGCCUGAGAGGGUGACCGGCGACAUUGGGACUGAGAUACGGCCCAGACUCCUACGGGAGGCAGCAGUGGGGAAUAUUGCACAAUGGGCGGAAGCCUGAUGCAGCAACGCCGCGUGCGGGAUGACGGCCUUCGGGUUGUAAACCGCUUUAGCCUGUGACGAAGCGUGAGUGACGGUAAUGGGUAAAGAAGCACCGGCUAACUACGUG